UCCGCGUUAGUAUAGUGGUGAGUAUAUCCGCCUGUCACGCGGAAGACACGGGUUCGAUUCCCGUACGCGGAG
RNAcentral lists this transfer RNA (72 nucleotides) under Dermatophagoides pteronyssinus (European house dust mite). RNAcentral's name for it is "tRNA-Asp". It matches the Rfam family "tRNA". From Rfam's summary of the family: Transfer RNA (tRNA) molecules are approximately 80 nucleotides in length. Their secondary structure includes four short double-helical elements and three loops (D, anti-codon, and T loops). Lineage: Eukaryota; Metazoa; Arthropoda; Arachnida; Sarcoptiformes; Pyroglyphidae. The record is from RNAcentral.